GUUGCCUGAGCAGUGGGCUGCUUAGGAAGAGAAGGUCAGAGUUCGCGGGGGCAGAGGCAUUCUUGCCGCUGGCCCAGUCACUAUGUAGUGGAGGGGCAGACACCCUCCCGCAAAUUCUGGAAGGUUCUUAGUCUCGACUAGGGCAGUAGCCCCAGGACUCCUAGUCGCCGGCUUCAGGUCACUGCCGGCUGAACGGAGCUGCCGUCGCCAUGUUUGGCUGCUUGGUGGCGGGGAGGCUGGUGCAAACAGCUGCACAGCAAGUGGCAGAGGAUAAAUUUGUUUUUGACUUACCUGAUUAUGAAAGUAUCAACCAUGUUGUGGUUUUUAUGCUGGGAACAAUCCCAUUUCCUGAGGGAAUGGGAGGAUCUGUCUACUUUUCUUAUCCUGAUUCAAAUGGAAUGCCAGUAUGGCAACUCCUAGGAUUUGUCACGAAUGGGAAGCCAAGUGCCAUCUUCAAAAUUUCAGGUCUUAAAUCUGGAGAAGGAAGCCAACAUCCUUUUGGAGCCAUGAAUAUUGUCCGAACUCCAUCUGUUGCUCAGAUUGGAAUUUCAGUGGAAUUAUUAGACAGUAUGGCUCAGCAGACUCCUGUAGGUAAUGCUGCUGUAUCCUCAGUUGACUCAUUCACUCAGUUCACACAAAAGAUGUUGGACAAUUUCUACAAUUUUGCUUCAUCAUUUGCUGUCUCUCAGGCCCAGAUGACACCAAGCCCAUCUGAAAUGUUCAUUCCGGCAAAUGUGGUUCUGAAAUGGUAUGAGGCAUUUUCUGUCUCCAAUAUUAAGGCUUUUUAUAACUGAAUAUCUAUUUUGUCUAUGAAUAUAUUCCUUUUUUGACAUUUAAACAUAUUCUUUUAUUGUGAACAUCAGCACUGCAUGCCAUUAAAGUAUGUACUAUAGAGAUCUGAUGAGAAACAGUUCUUACCCUAAAUAUUUUGUUAUAUUGUCGCCAUUAUGAAUUUAUAAAGACAGGAAAAUAUAGUUGCCUAUGUUUUAGGGACCACUAUUAAAGCUUAUAAAUAUUUGUGUAUUUUCAUUUAGAAGUACCAUCUAUGAGAGUAGUUUAUACUGCACUGUGUACAUGAAUGGCUAAUGAAUCUAUUUUCCAACUUUCCCGUGUUUUAUAGAUAUUUCUUUUCACUUUGAGUAUCCUAGAGAUGGGAGGAUGCCUAGGAAGAGUUUGUUGAGAAGUGGUACCAUGGUGUAGCAUGGAGAGCAUUGGAAUGCACUAGGUAUGAAAACUUUCAAAGACGACUAGCACAGAACCCUCUCUUUUGGAAAACAUAAUUUGAAUAAAAUAAUUUUUAAUGGAUUCUGAAAUUUGUCAUGUUUUGAAGAUAACUGACUCCAUCUAAAAGUAUGAGGUCAAAGGAUCACGAAACCUAAGUUUAAAAACUGCUUAGAGACUGAAGCUUAAUUAAAAAUCUUUAUUAAAAAUUAAAAACAUUGAAAAAUGAAAAUAUGUUCAUCAUUAAAGACUUUUUUCCCCUUAAGCUUAAAAUACCAUUCAAAGGCAAGACAUUUUGUUUUGGCUAUGAUUCAUUUUUUUUACUUAAAAAUAAAACCUAUACCAAACAGUAGUGUGCCAAGUA
Molecule: RNA transcript, 1585 nt
Organism: Homo sapiens (human)
Lineage: Eukaryota; Metazoa; Chordata; Mammalia; Primates; Hominidae
Gene: HIKESHI
Gene name: heat shock protein nuclear import factor hikeshi
Exons: 5
Source: RefSeq, marked reviewed